This 32-nucleotide non-coding RNA is filed under the name Homo sapiens (human). Lineage: Eukaryota; Metazoa; Chordata; Mammalia; Primates; Hominidae. The record is from RNAcentral.
UCCUUGAUGUGCCUAGAAUGUCACGGCUACCU